RNAcentral lists this ribosomal RNA (605 nucleotides) under Salmonella enterica subsp. enterica serovar Enteritidis. RNAcentral's name for it is "partial 23S ribosomal RNA". It matches the Rfam family "Bacterial large subunit ribosomal RNA", at positions 1 to 590 of the family's 2925-position model. The record is from RNAcentral. Lineage: Bacteria; Pseudomonadati; Pseudomonadota; Gammaproteobacteria; Enterobacterales; Enterobacteriaceae.
GGGUUGUGAGGUUAAGCGACUAAGCGUACACGGUGGAUGCCCUGGCAGUCAGAGGCGAUGAAGGGCGUGCUAAUCUGCGAUAAGCGCCGGUAAGGUGAUAUGAACCGUUAUAACCGGCGAUACCCGAAUGGGGAAACCCAGUGUGACUCGUCACACUAUCAUUAACUGAAUCCAUAGGUUAAUGAGGCGAACCGGGGGAACUGAAACAUCUAAGUACCCCGAGGAAAAGAAAUCAACCGAGAUUCCCCCAGUAGCGGCGAGCGAACGGGGAGGAGCCCAGAGCCUGAAUCAGCAUGUGUGUUAGUGGAAGCGUCUGGAAAGGCGCGCGAUACAGGGUGACAGCCCCGUACACAAAAGCGCAUGUGCUGUGAGCUCGAUGAGUAGGGCGGGACACGUGGUAUCCUGUCUGAAUAUGGGGGGACCAUCCUCCAAGGCUAAAUACUCCUGACUGACCGAUAGUGAACCAGUACCGUGAGGGAAAGGCGAAAAGAACCCCGGCGAGGGGAGUGAAAAAGAACCUGAAACCGUGUACGUACAAGCAGUGGGAGCCCCACCACCAAAGCAUUUGCUGUACCGCGUUGACGGAGCGAAGCGACGUCAAACCG